GAUGAACGUUGGCGGCGUGCCUAAUACAUGCAAGUCGAACGAAGACUGUAGUAAUACUGUCUUAGUGGCGAACGGGUGAGUAACGCGUGGGUGACCUGCCCCGAAGUGUGGGAUAACAGUCCGAAAGGAUUGCUAAUACUGCAUAAUAUCCAAGAGAUUAGAUGCUUUUGGAUUAAAGGAGUAAUUCGCUUCGGGAGGGGCCCGCGUCCCAUCAGCUAGUUGGUAAGGUAAUGGCUUACCAAGGCGAUGACGGGUAGGGGACCUGAGAGGGUGGCCCCCCACAAUGGAACUGAAACACGGUCCAUACACCUACGGGUGGCAGCAGUAGGGAAUAUUAGUAAUGGGCGAAAGCCUGAACUAGCAACGCCGCGUGUGCGAAGAAGGCCUUCGGGUCGUAAAGCACUUUUUGAGAGGAUGAGGAAGGACGGUACGUCUCAGAAUAAGUCUCGGCUAACUACGUGCCAGCCAGCCGCGGUAAACUAGUACUACG
This 490-nucleotide ribosomal RNA is filed under the name uncultured bacterium. Its description in RNAcentral is "bacterial SSU rRNA". It matches the Rfam family "Bacterial small subunit ribosomal RNA", at positions 28 to 536 of the family's 1533-position model. The record is from RNAcentral.